GAUUUAUUGUUGUAUUUUUGAUUAUGUUUUUAAAAUGAAUAUAAAUGUGAAGUUCUAAUAAGUAAAUAUUAUUAUUAUUGUAAAAGUUAUUAAUGUUUAUAAUAUUUAGUUUAUAUUUUUGGUAAUAUAAGUGAAAUAAAUAUAUGUUUGAAGGUUAUUAACGAUGGUUUUAUAUUUGGAAAUAAUGUUUUAGAAAGAGUAGAUGUAAAG
RNAcentral lists this unclassified non-coding RNA (210 nucleotides) under Hevea brasiliensis (rubber tree). The record is from RNAcentral. Lineage: Eukaryota; Viridiplantae; Streptophyta; Magnoliopsida; Malpighiales; Euphorbiaceae.